CUCCAGUAGUUACCAGUGUAGUGGUGUUCUGUCUCCAGUAGUUACCAGUGUAGUGGUGUUCUGUCUCCAGUAGUUACCAGUGUCGUAGUAUUGGUGUUCUGUCUCCAGUAGUUACCAGUGUAGUGGUGUUCUGUCUCCAGUAGUUACCAGUGUCGUAGUAUUGGUGUUCUGUCUCCAGUAGUUACCAGUGUCGUAGUGUUCUGUCUCCAAUAGUUACCAGUGUAGUAGUAGUGGUGUUCUGUCUCCAGUAGUUACCAGUGUAGUAAUAGUGGUGUUCUGUCUCCAGUAGUUACCAGUGUAGUAGUGUUCUGUCUCCAGUAGUUACCAGUGUAGUGGUGUUCUUGUUCUGUCUCCAGUAGUUACCAGUGUAGUAGUAUUGGUGUUCUGUCUCCAGUAGUUACCAGUGUAGUAAUAGUGGUGUUCUGUCUCCAGUAGUUACCAGUGUAGUAGUGUUCUGUCUCCAGUAGUUACCAGUGUAGUGGUGUUCUGUCUCCAGUAGUUACCAGUGUAGUGGUGUUCUGUCUCCAGUAGAUACCAGUGUCGUAGUAUUGGUGUUCUGUCUCCAGUAGUUACCAGUGUAGUAGUAGUGCUGUUCUGUCUCCAGUAGUUACCAGUGUAGUGGUAUUGGUGUUCU
Long non-coding RNA from Oncorhynchus tshawytscha (Chinook salmon), 634 nucleotides. The record is from Ensembl. NCBI's taxonomy places the organism in Eukaryota, Metazoa, Chordata, Actinopteri, Salmoniformes, Salmonidae.